UGAGGAAUAUUGGUCAAUGGGCGGGAGCCUGAACCAGCCAAGUCGCGUGAGGGAGGAAGGUCCUACGGAUUGUAAACCUCUUUAGCCGGGGAGCAACGUGCACCACGCGUGGCGCAGUGAGAGUACCCGGAGAAUAAGCAUCGGCUAACUCCGUGCCAGCAGCCGCGGUAAUACGGAGGGUGCAAGCGUUAAUCGGAAUAACUGGGCGUAAAGGGCAUGCAGGCGGUUCAUCAAGUAGGAUGUGAAAUCCCCGGGCUCAACCUGGGAACAGCAUACUAAACUGGUGGACUAGAGUAUUGCAGGGGGAGACGGAAUUCCAGGUGUAGCGGUGGAAUGCGUAGAUAUCUGGAAGAACACCAAAGGCGAAGGCAGUCUCCUGGGCAAAUACUGACGCUCAUAUG
RNAcentral lists this ribosomal RNA (401 nucleotides) under uncultured Succinivibrio sp. RNAcentral's name for it is "bacterial SSU rRNA". It matches the Rfam family "Bacterial small subunit ribosomal RNA", at positions 355 to 753 of the family's 1533-position model. Lineage: Bacteria; Pseudomonadati; Pseudomonadota; Gammaproteobacteria; Aeromonadales; Succinivibrionaceae. The record is from RNAcentral.